RNAcentral lists this long non-coding RNA (1673 nucleotides) under Malus domestica (apple). RNAcentral's name for it is "long non-coding RNA (MDOM_LNC012850)". The record is from RNAcentral. Lineage: Eukaryota; Viridiplantae; Streptophyta; Magnoliopsida; Rosales; Rosaceae.
UAGAAGUUUAUCACCCAUUACUUCUAGUGUUGUUCCCUGCUGUUUUUAAGUGUUUUUGACAUGAAAAUCGAAAAAUCUCAUAAAAAUUUGAAAAAUUGUUUUGAAAAACCCAAAAAGAGUUGUUUUUGUGUGUUUAUUUGUGUCUUAGGGUACCUUCCAACACAAUGAUGAGGAUUUGGUUUUUAAUUACAUGACUGUUAAAGAGAGUUAUAAACAUGGAUAAAAAUUUAAUUUACUCUUUGGUGUAUGCAUGGUUGUGGUUAUAAUUUAGGAAUUCACAUGCAAUCAUAAAGGAAAAAUCAGUUUUUGUAACAUGCUUGAAGAAAGGAACUCAAAUGAACGCUACAACCUUGCGAGACUUGAGCCUAAACGUUUAUUUGGAGAGUUAAUAAUCUGUGCAUCAUUGUUUUCUAAAGUCGUUGCAUGAUCUCAUUAUUCUUUGAUUGGUUGCUACUUAGAAGGCGUUUCAUCAUUUAGUUCCAAAUGCUAGAACUCAUGCCUAUUUCAUUCAAAGCAUGCUAUUGAUUUGCAUAACACAUAUUCAAGAUGAAGUUGUGUAGUGAUCACCAAAGCCAAAUUGCCGUGCCCUUAUUUCAUUAUGUGUUUAAGUUUAACCCCGUUAAGCCUUGUUAAGCCUAUGUUCUUUGUUAACCCACACUAUCCUUACCUAGCCUAGUUUUAGGACCAUCCAUACCCUUAUUCUUGAAGCAUAGUAAAGCGUGACUUAAAAUGAACUCCUUUUUUACCAAUGUAUUGCAGAAAGCAAGUGUGGGGGAAGUGAUUCUUGUGUGUGUGUGUGUGUGUGUGUGUGUGUGUGUGUGUGCCAAAGUCCUUAAUAAGGCAUGGGUACAAAAGAAAAAAAAAAGUUAUGAAAAAGAGCUCUAAAGUGUUGUUUGUUAAAGAAAGGGUUCAAAGCAUCGAAUUCUUCCCUAAGUGUUGCAUGAAUCUUCCCGUUGUAUUUAAAAGUUGAUUCUGCAUUCUAAAGUGAUUUCCAAGUGUCUAUUUCAUUGCUUUGCUUGCUAUUGCUUUAAGAACGUUUGUUAUUCCAAUCCUUUCUUUGUUAGCCAUUACCCCCAAGCCCUGUUACAACCCUUGACUUCAAUCUUGAGUGUUGUGUGCUUUAAUUUGUGGAGUUCGAAAUUGGUAUGAGCAUAUGGUGUCACUGGUUCUAGCAUCUAAGUAGUAGCAUACCAUUCAUGAGAUCAUAUCUAAAUAUGCUUAAUAACUCCAGAAAAUUGCUUCCUUCGUUAUAACAUUUGUGAGUCCCAGUCUCUAGUGUAGGGUGUGUAGUCAGAAAAUAUGUGUGAAAAUAGAGAGUAUCUUGUGAGGAAUUGAGCAAAAUCUCUAAGGCAUGUUACUACAUUCAAAACAUUGUUUUAAUUGGUUAAUUGUGAACUAGUAAGUAGUGACUAUGAUUAAGUUUGUGCUCAAGUGUGAAGAUAACCAAAAUCUGUGGGAAUGAUGAUUUUUAACAUGUCAUGUGCAUUGGAAAUCCCUGAGGCAAAUGUUGGAAGGUUAGGUUGUGUUUUGUUUAUUUUAUUUCGUUUUGUUUGUUUUGUUUUGCUCGAGGACUAGCAAAAGCUAAGUGUGGGGGAAUUUGAUAGGAGCAUAUUUAUGCAACUUAGUUAGCUUGUUUCGUGGCAUUUACUUAGUUUAAUUCUAGUUAUUUUAGU